AUAAGCAAAAUAAGGGCGUAUGGGGAAUGCCUAGGCUCUCAGAGGCGAAGAAGGACGUGAUA
Molecule: ribosomal RNA, 62 nt
Filed under: Myroides odoratimimus
Lineage: Bacteria; Pseudomonadati; Bacteroidota; Flavobacteriia; Flavobacteriales; Flavobacteriaceae
Description: partial 23S ribosomal RNA
Source: RNAcentral